Molecule: unclassified non-coding RNA, 278 nt
Filed under: Hevea brasiliensis (rubber tree)
Lineage: Eukaryota; Viridiplantae; Streptophyta; Magnoliopsida; Malpighiales; Euphorbiaceae
Source: RNAcentral
CCAGAGCAGCAUGCUGAUCCUGCAGGAGACAUGCAUAGACGCCGCGGGGUCGCUUGUAGUAUACGCUCCAGUUGACAUUCCAGCCAUGCACGUGGUGAUGAACGGUGGAGAUUCUGCUUACGUAGCGCUGCUUCCAUCGGGAUUCGCUAUUGUCCCUGACGGUCCUGGCUCGCGUGGGUCACUUGCUAACCCUAAUGGCCCAACUAGUAAUAACGGUGGUGGCGCUGCCGGUCAACACAGAGUGAGUGGGUCCCUUCUGACGGUGGCAUUCCAAAUCC